This 72-nucleotide transfer RNA is filed under the name Dipodomys ordii (Ord's kangaroo rat). It matches the Rfam family "tRNA". Rfam says of the family: Transfer RNA (tRNA) molecules are approximately 80 nucleotides in length. Their secondary structure includes four short double-helical elements and three loops (D, anti-codon, and T loops). Lineage: Eukaryota; Metazoa; Chordata; Mammalia; Rodentia; Heteromyidae. The record is from Rfam by way of RNAcentral.
GGGGAUGUGGCUCAGUACUAGAGUACUUGCCUAGCAUGUAGUAGACACUGGGUUUAAUCCCUAGCAUUACCA